GCAGCAGCCGCGGGAAAACGGAGGGUGCAAGCGUUAAUCGGAAUUACUGGGCGUAAAGCGCACGCAGGCGGUCUGUCAAGUCAGAUGUGAAAUCCCCGGGCUUAACCUGGGAACUGCAUUUGAAACUGGCAGGCUAGAGUCUUGUAGAGGGGGGUAGAAUUCCAGGUGUAGCGGUGAAAUGCGUAGAGAUCUGGAGGAAUACCGGUGGCGAAGGCGGCCCCCUGGACAAAGACUGACGCUCAGGUGCGAAAGCGUGGGGAGCAAACAGGAUUAGAUACCCCGGUAGUCCCUGUCUCUUAUAC
Molecule: ribosomal RNA, 302 nt
Filed under: uncultured bacterium
Lineage: Bacteria
Description: partial 16S ribosomal RNA
Rfam family: Bacterial small subunit ribosomal RNA
Source: RNAcentral